UGGGGAAUUUUGGACAAUGGGGGCAACCCUGAUCCAGCCAUCCCGCGUGUGCGAUGAAGGCCUUCGGGUUGUAAAGCACUUUUGGCAGGGAAGAAACAGCCUGGGAUAAUACCCCGGGCGACUGACGGUACCUGCAGAAUAAGCACCGGCUAACUACGUGCCAGCAGCCGCGGUAAUACGUAGGGUGCAAGCGUUAAUCGGAAUUACUGGGCGUAAAGCGUGCGCAGGCGGUUCGGAAAGAAAGGUGUGAAAUCCCAGGGCUUAACCUUGGAAUUGCACUUUUAACUACCGAGCUAGAGUACGUCAGAGGGGGGUAGAAUUCCACGUGUAGCAGUGAAAAUGCGUAGAGAUGUGGAGGAAUACCGACGGCGAAAGGCAGCCCCCCUGGGCCAAAUACUGACGCUCAUGCACGAAAAGCGUGGGGAGCAAAACAGGAUUAGAUACCCUGGUAGUCCACGCCCUAAAACGAUGUCAACUAGUUGUUGGGGAUUCAUUUCCUUAGUAACGUAGCUAAACGCGUGAAAGUUGACCGCCUGGGGAGUAACGGUCGCAAAGAUUAAAAACUCAAAAUGAAUUGACGGGGUCAUAGCUGUUUCC
This 597-nucleotide ribosomal RNA is filed under the name uncultured bacterium. Its description in RNAcentral is "partial 16S ribosomal RNA". It matches the Rfam family "Bacterial small subunit ribosomal RNA", at positions 355 to 937 of the family's 1533-position model. The record is from RNAcentral.